Molecule: long non-coding RNA, 569 nt
Filed under: Marmota monax (woodchuck)
Lineage: Eukaryota; Metazoa; Chordata; Mammalia; Rodentia; Sciuridae
Source: RNAcentral
CCCAUCCAUCCAUCCACCCACCCAUCCAUCCGUCCACCCAUCCAUCCAUCCGUCCACCCAUCCAUCCAUCCACCCACCCAUCCAUCCAUCCACCCAUCCGUCCAUCCGUCCACCCAUCCGUCCAUCCGUCCACCCACCCGUCCAUCCGUCCACCCAUCCGUCCAUCCAUCCACCCAUCUGUCCAUCCAUCCGUCCGUCCAUCCAUCCAACCAUCCAUCCACCCAUCUGUCCAUCCGUCCGUCCGUCCAUCCAUCCAACCAUCCACCCACCCAUCCAUCCGUCCACCCAUCCAACCAUCCGUCCACCCGUCCAACCAUCCGUCCACCCGUCCAUCCAUCCACCCACCCGUCCAUCCAUCCACCCACCCGUCCAUCCAUCCACCCACCCGUCCAUCCGUCCACCCACCCGUCCAUCCAUCCAUCCACCCAUCCAACCAUCCGUCCACCCAUACAUCCAUCCAUCCACCCAUCUGUCCAUCCAUCCGUCUGUCCAUCCAUCCAACCAUCCAUCCACCCAUCUGUCCAUCCGUCCACCCAUCCAUCCAUCCAUCCAUCCGACCAUCCAUCCAC